AUUGAACGCUGGCGGAAUGCUUUACACAUGCAAGUCGAACGGCAGCACGGACUUCGGUCUGGUGGCGAGUGGCGAACGGGUGAGUAAUGUAUCGGAACGUGCCCAGUCGUGGGGGAUAACGUAGUGAAAAUUACGCUAAUACCGCAUACGAUCUAUGGAUGAAAGCGGGGGAUCGCAAGACCUCGCGCGAUUGGAGCGGCCGAUAUCAGAUUGUGUAGUUGGUGGGGUAAAGGCCCACAAAGCCAACGAUCUGUAGCUGGUCUGAGAGGACGACCGGCUGCACUGGAACUGAGACACGGUCCAGACUGCUACGGGAGGCAGCAGUGGGGAAUUUUGGACGAUGGGCGAAAGCCUGAUCCAGCCAUUCCGCGUGCAGGAUGAAGGCCCUCGGGUUGUAAACUGCUUUUGUACAGAAAGAAAAGGUUUCUACUAAUACUAGGAGCUCAUGACGGUACUGUAAGCAUAAGCACCGGCUAACUACGUGCCAGCCGCCGCCGUAA
This 500-nucleotide ribosomal RNA is filed under the name uncultured bacterium. RNAcentral describes it as "partial 16S ribosomal RNA". It matches the Rfam family "Bacterial small subunit ribosomal RNA", at positions 30 to 523 of the family's 1533-position model. The record is from RNAcentral.